This 1471-nucleotide ribosomal RNA is filed under the name metagenome. RNAcentral's name for it is "bacterial LSU rRNA". It matches the Rfam family "Bacterial large subunit ribosomal RNA", at positions 1409 to 2910 of the family's 2925-position model. The record is from RNAcentral.
CCCUAGUCGAUGGCUAACGGGUUAAUAUUCCCGUACUACUAAUUACUGUGAUGGGGUGACGGAGUGAUGAAAGCGCCGCGAACUGACGGAAUAGUUCGUUGAAGUACCUACCUAUAAGAUCUGCAGGCAAAUCCACAGAUCUUGGGGAAAUACGAUAGUACUCGGAGUCUUCGGACAAAGAGAUAGUGCGCCUAAGGGCUUCCAAGAAAAACCUCUAAACUUCAGGUAAUUAGUACCAGUACCGUAAACCGACACAGGUAGUUGAGGAGAGAAUCCUAAGGUGCUCGAGAGAUUCAUGGCUAAGGAAUUAGGCAAAAUAGACCUGUAACUUCGGGAGAAAGGUCGCCAGCGCAAGCUGGCCGCAGUGAAGAGGUCCAGGCGACUGUUUAUCAAAAACACAGGGCUCUGCAAAAUCGUAAGAUGAAGUAUAGGGCCUGACACCUGCCCGGUGCUGGAAGGUUAAGAGGAGAUGUUAUCUUCGGAGAAGCAUUGAAUUGAAGCCCCAGUAAACGGCGGCCGUAACAAUAACGGUCCUAAGGUAGCGAAAUUCCUUGUCGGGUAAGUUCCGACCUGCACGAAUGGUGUAACGAUCUGGACACUGUCUCAGCCAUGAGCUCGGUGAAAUUGUAGUAACGGUGAAGAUGCCGUUUACCCGCAGUGGGACGAAAAGACCCUGUGCACCUUUACUAUAGCUUAGUAUUGACCUUGGAUAAAUGAUGUGUAGGAUAGGUUGGAGACUGUGAAGUGGCGUCGCCAGGCGUUGUGGAGUCGUUGUUGAAAUACAACCCUUUGUUUAUCUGAGGCCUAACCCCAUAUUGUGGGGGACAUUGCUUGGUGGGUAGUUUGACUGGGGUGGUCGCCUCCAAAAGAGUAACGGAGGCUUCUAAAGGUUCCCUCAGUACGCUUGGUAACCGUGCGUAGAGUGCAAUGGCAUAAGGGAGCUUGACUGAGAGACAUACAGGUCGAUCAGGUACGAAAGUAGAGCAUAGUGAUCCGGUGGUUCCGCAUGGAAGGGCCAUCGCUCAAAGGAUAAAAGGUACGCCGGGGAUAACAGGCUGAUCUCCCCCAAGAGCUCAUAUCGACGGGGGGGUUUGGCACCUCGAUGUCGGCUCGUCACAUCCUGGGGCUGGAGAAGGUCCCAAGGGUUGGGCUGUUCGCCCAUUAAAGUGGCACGCGAGCUGGGUUCAGAACGUCGUGAGACAGUUCGGUCUCUAUCUACUGUGGGCGUUAGAAAUUUGAGUGGAUCUGAUUCUAGUACGAGAGGACCGAAUUGGACAAACCUCUAGUGUAUCUGUUGUCCCGCCAGGGGCACCGCAGAGUAGCUACGUUUGGAAGGGAUAAGCGCUGAAAGCAUAUAAGCGCGAAACCCACCACAAGAUGAGAUUUCUUUUAAGGAUCGUGGAAGAUGACCACGUUGAUAGGCUAUAGAUGUAAAGGCAGUAAUGUCAUAGUCGAGUAGUACUAAUAAUUC